This 707-nucleotide ribosomal RNA is filed under the name uncultured bacterium. Its description in RNAcentral is "bacterial SSU rRNA". It matches the Rfam family "Bacterial small subunit ribosomal RNA", at positions 801 to 1509 of the family's 1533-position model. The record is from RNAcentral.
CUAAACGAUGUCAACUAGUUGUUGGUGGAGUAAAAUCCAUGAGUAACGUAGCUAACGCGUGAAGUUGACCGCCUGGGGAGUACGGUCGCAAGAUUAAAACUCAAAUGAAUUGACGGGGGCCCGCACAAGCGGUGGAUUAUGUGAAUUAAUUCGAUGCAACGCGAAAAACCUUACCUGGCCUUGACAUGUACGGAACUUUCUAGAGAUAGAUUGGUGCCUUCGGGAACCGUAACACAGGUGCUGCAUGGCUGUCGUCAGCUCGUGUCGUGAGAUGUUGGGUUAAGUCCCGCAACGAGCGCAACCCUUGCCAAUAAUUGCCAUCAUUUAGUUGGGCACUUUAUUGGGACUGCCGGUGACAAACCGGAGGAAGGUGGGGAUGACGUCAAGUCCUCAUGGCCCUUAUGGCCAGGGCUUCACACGUAAUACAAUGGUCGGUACAGAGGGUCGCCAACCCGCGAGGGGGAGCAAAUCCCAGAAAGCCGAUCGUAGUCCGGAUUGUUCUCUGCAACUCGAGAGCAUGAAGUCGGAAUCGCUAGUAAUCGCGGAUCAGAAUGUCGCGGUGAAUACGUUCCCGGGCCUUGUACACGCCGCCCGUCACACCAUGGGAGUGGGUUUUACCAGAAGUAGGUAGUCUAACCUUCGGGGGGACGCUUACCACGGUAGUAUUCAUGACUGGGGUGAAGUCGUAACAAGGUAACCGUAAAUCU